This 237-nucleotide ribosomal RNA is filed under the name uncultured Staphylococcus sp. RNAcentral describes it as "partial 16S ribosomal RNA". It matches the Rfam family "Bacterial small subunit ribosomal RNA", at positions 104 to 334 of the family's 1533-position model. Lineage: Bacteria; Bacillati; Bacillota; Bacilli; Caryophanales; Staphylococcaceae. The record is from RNAcentral.
GGGUGAGUAACACGUGGAUAACCUACCUAUAAGACUUGGGAUAACUUCGGGAAACCGGAGCUAAUACCGGAUAAUAUUUUGAACCGCAUGGUUCAAAAGUGAAAGACGGUCUUGCUGUCACUUAUAGAUGGAUCCGCGCUGCAUUAGCUAGUUGGUAAGGUAACGGCUUACCAAGGCAACGAUGCAUAGCCGACCUGAGAGGGUGAUCGGCCACACUGGAACUGAGACACGGUCCAG